RNAcentral lists this ribosomal RNA (301 nucleotides) under uncultured bacterium. RNAcentral describes it as "partial 16S ribosomal RNA". It matches the Rfam family "Bacterial small subunit ribosomal RNA", at positions 509 to 807 of the family's 1533-position model. The record is from RNAcentral.
CAGUCGCCGCGGGAAUACGAGGGGAGCUAGCGUUGUUCGGAAUUACUGGGCGUAAAGCGCGCGUAGGCGGCUUUUUAAGUCAGAGGUGAAAGCCCGGGGCUCAACCCCGGAAUUGCCUUUGAAACUGGAAAGCUAGAAUCUUGGAGAGGUCAGUGGAAUUCCGAGUGUAGAGGUGAAAUUCGUAGAUAUUCGGAAGAACACCAGUGGCGAAGGCGACUGACUGGACAAGUAUUGACGCUGAGGUGCGAAAGCGUGGGGAGCAAACAGGAUUAGAUACCCCUGUAGUCCCUGUCUCUUAUAC